AACGUAAGACACAAGCGUUAUCCGGAGUUACUGGGCGUAAAGGGCGUGUAGGCGGACGUGUAAGUCUAUUCUGAAAGCUCCUGGCUAAACUGGGAGAGGCGAAUGGAGACUGCAUAUCUGGAGUGAGGAAGAGGAAAGUGGAAUUCCGCGUGUAGUGGUGAAAUGCGUAGAGAUGCGGAGGAACACCAGUGGCGAAGGCAGCUCGUUACACGAAGAUUGACUCUGAGGCACGAAAGCGUGGGGAUCAAACAGG
Molecule: ribosomal RNA, 253 nt
Filed under: uncultured bacterium
Lineage: Bacteria
Description: partial 16S ribosomal RNA
Rfam family: Bacterial small subunit ribosomal RNA
Source: RNAcentral